GUGAGGAAUAUUGGUCAAUGGAGGCAACUCUGAACCAGCCAUGCCGCGUGCAGGAAGACGGUCCUAUGGAUUGUAAACUGCUUUUAUUUAGGAAUAAACCCCCGGUCGUGCACCGGGGCUGAAUGUACUAAAAGAAUAGCACCGGCUAACUCCGUGCCAGCAGCCGCGGUAAUACGGAGGGUGCAAGCGUUAUCCGGAAUCAUUGGGUUUAAAGGGUCCGCAGGCGGGUAAAUAAGUCAGAGGUGAAAUCCGGCAGCUCAACUGUCGCACUGCCUUUGAUACUGUUUAUCUUGAAUUUUAGUGGAGUGGGCGGAAUAUGUCAUGUAGCGGUGAAAUGCUUAGAUAUGACGUGGAACACCGAUAGCGAAGGCAGCUCACUAACUAUGAAUUGACGCUCAUGGACGAAAGCGUGGGUAGCAAACAGGAUUAGAUACCCCGGUAGUCC
RNAcentral lists this ribosomal RNA (445 nucleotides) under uncultured bacterium. Its description in RNAcentral is "partial 16S ribosomal RNA". It matches the Rfam family "Bacterial small subunit ribosomal RNA", at positions 354 to 796 of the family's 1533-position model. The record is from RNAcentral.